UUAUUCAAAUGAUGAUACAAAUUUUACCAAACAGUUAUCCCUGUCAGACAUGGUAACAAUUCAGUGGUGAAAAAACUAAUGUAUCUGAUGAACUU
RNAcentral lists this small nucleolar RNA (95 nucleotides) under Diaphorina citri (Asian citrus psyllid). RNAcentral describes it as "small nucleolar RNA R38". It matches the Rfam family "Small nucleolar RNA R38". Rfam says of the family: snoR38 is a C/D box small nucleolar RNA conserved across yeast, human, Arabidopsis and rice. The record is from Rfam by way of RNAcentral. Lineage: Eukaryota; Metazoa; Arthropoda; Insecta; Hemiptera; Psyllidae.